UCCAAGAAAAUUUGAGAAGUUCCCCAGC
This 28-nucleotide non-coding RNA is filed under the name Mus musculus (house mouse). Lineage: Eukaryota; Metazoa; Chordata; Mammalia; Rodentia; Muridae. The record is from RNAcentral.